AUCUGAGUAAACACAAAAUACAAUAUUUAUUUAUUUAUUCGUUUAUUUAUUCAUUUUAUCAAAGCAAAAAAAAAAAAGUUAUCCAACACCUAUCACCCUUGUGAAAAACUAAUAGCCCCCUUAAACUUCAAAUCUGCUUGUGCCACCUUUAGCAGUAAUAACUGCAACCAAACACUUCCGAUAGCUGGAGAUCAGUCUUUCACGUUCUUCUAGCACUAGUACUUACUCAUAUGCUUUGGAUCAUUGUCUUGCUAAAUAUUACAGUUGCGCUUGAGUUUGAGUUUAUGGACUGAAGACCGGGCAUUCUCCUUUAGGAUUUUCUGGUAGAGAGCAGAAUUCAUGUUUCCCUUCAAUUAUUGCAAGGUUCUAAGUAUUGAAGCAGAAAAGCAUCCCCAUAUCAUCACACUGCCACCACCAUGCUUGACUGUAGGUAUGAUGUUCUUUUUGUGGAAUUCUGUGUUUGGUUUAUGCCAGAUGUAACAGGACAGUGGAACUGUUCUAAACAGUUUCACUUUCAACUCAUCAGUCCACAGAUCAUUCUCCCAAAAGGUUUGACGAUCAUCAAGGUGUGUUUUGGCAAAAUUCAGACAAGCCUUAAUGUUCUUCUGGGUUAUCAGUGGUUUUCACCUUGCCACUCUGCCAUGGAUGCCAUUUUUGCCCAGUGUCUUUCUGAUAGUGGAGUCAUGAACAGUGACCUUUAUUGAUGCAAGAGAGGCCUGAAAGUCCUUUGAUGUUGUCCUUGUCUGUUUUGUGACUUGCUGGAUGCAUAGUUGCUGUGCUCUUGGAGGAAUUUUGGAAGGUCAGCCACUUCUGGGAAGGUUCCCUACUGUGCCGUUUUUCUAUUUGGCGGUAAUGGCGCUUACUGUGGUUCUUUGGAGUCCCAGAAACUUUGAAAUAGUUUUGUAACCCUUCCCAGACUGUUUUUCAAUCACCUUCUUCCAUAGUGUAUUACUGUGUAUUACUGUGUAUUACUUCAUAUGCAUAUGCAAGACCUUUUAACCAACUUCAAGCUGUUGAAAAAGUUCUAUUUAAGUGUUGAUUUGAUUGAACAGGGUUUGCAGUAAUCAGACCUGGUUGUGUCUAGUCCAGCUGAACCCCAUUAUGAAUGCAGUUUCAUAGAUUUGGGGAAUUAGUAGAUACGAGGGCAAAUACAUUUUCACACAGGCCCAGUUGGUACUGAAUAACUUUUUUGUUAUUGGAUAACCCUCCAUUAAUAUUGGCACCCUUGGUAAAUAUAAGCAAAGAAGGCUGUGGAAAAAUUGUCUUUAUUGUGUAACCUUUUGAUCUUUUGUUAAAAAAAAAAUUCACAAAAAUACUCUGCUCUCAUGGAUAUCAAACAAUUGAAAAACACAACACAAGUUUAUCAAAAAAAAAAUCUUUGUUAAAUAUAGGUUUUAUAAUCAAUGGAUUAAAAAUGUUCUGUUACAAACAUUACCAAAGAUAAAUAUAUACUCAUUGAUAUGAUGGAUUUUUCUGUAUGAUGCUGAUUUAUCAUUUAUGGAAGGAAUCUCUAGUAUCAGGGCUUUGUAACAGUCAGAAUGUCUUAAACCAUGGAAGAGUUUUCAAGACAGAGGACUUUGUGAAUUUCCAGUUUCUCUGCAACAUGACCAGCUGUGUGGUUUUUGUUGUUGUUUGUUUGUUUGUUUGUUUUUGUCUUAUUCAUGUUAAGAGAGCGAGAAAAUACAAAGAAUGGUGAAGGAACAGCUGUUUAUGGCUGUUAUAACAUAAGUUAUGAACAUUCUACAACAUUAUAUGUAACUAUAAUUGGAUCAAAAGUACCAUGCAUCAUUCAUUAUAAUAAAUAGUAAAUAAAUAAUAUAAUAAAGAAAGAAAUGUUGUAAUUGUUGGCAUAUUGCUAUGGCAUAAGCGGAAUAAAGCACUUAUAAUCACACCAACUUCGCAUUAAUUAUUUUCCAAUAACAGCACACGCCAUCAUAUUUUAUUCCUUACAUAUAUUGUGUACAAAAAUAUGCCUCAGCCAUGUAAACUUAGGUUACUGGAAUACACAAAUGGUUUGAAGGAUGUAUAAAUGUUUUAAUUUUGAAGGUACCUAGAACAUUUAGCAUUUUGAACGAGUUCGAUCUCAACUGCUAGACCUUACUCACUUUCAGUAAUCCUGCUCAGGGUUGUGAUGGAUCCGGAGUCUAUCCUGGUAACACUGGGAGCAAGGUGAGACAAUUCACCCCAGAUGGGUUGCCAGUACAUUGAAUGAUCAUAAAAAUGUCCUCAGGUUGCUUUUCUGACCCAUUUGCCAAUAAUUAUCUGCAAUAUCUUUCAACGAACUCAUCUAUAGGUUUCAAAUCAUGUAGUGCUAUUUAUUACAAGGCCCUCUAUAUGACUGGAACUUUAUAACUGAGCUGUUCGCAAUGAUGCCAAGAAUCUUAUCUGGGUAUCAGACAGAAAUCCCAGCCAAAAACCAAUUUGGACUUACUUCCAUUGUAAAAAGGAAUCCAAGCACAGAUAAUUCAGGCAUAGGACUAGCAAGAAAAUGCUUUCCAUAAUAAUAGCCUAUAGUUUACUUGAAUAACAGAUGAAAAUAUGUGAUGAGAUUGAGCAGCUCUGUUGCAGGACUGAAAGCUGGGAUGCAGUGAAGUGCUGCAGGGAGAUUCGUCUCCUCCCCCACACGUGUGUGCCUCUGUAUUAAUGACUGAGGCUCACCUCGCCGGGUCAAACCCAUUCAGCCCUGCUGAUGGAUCUCGUCUGCACUCCUCUCAUGUCCUGCUUCAUCUGUCUUGCAGUGCUACAGCAGGGAGGACCACUCAGAAACUCUGCAGAGAGCGAACAGUGGUGCAGAGAUGGGGUAUUGUCACAGAGCUCAAGAAUUCAUGAACAAAUAUCUACAGACAUAUAUGCACACACACACACACACACACACACAGUCUGGCCUAUUAAAAGUACUAUAAUCAAAAACUGUUAACUCUGCCUGUGCAUACCCAAAGCUAAUUGCUAUUUUGUGGUAAUAAUUUUAUCAGUGCAAAAUUGCACUAAUUGUGUCGCUAAAUAUUUACUGAUAUUUCACUCUGUCAUAAUGCUACAGCAGUAAAUUUAAAAUCUUGAUUUUAGGGUCUCACAAUAUGAUUAACUUCAUAUUAAGGUUAGAAAUUGAUGCUGCUUUUGGCUACACUGUACAGUGGAAAUGUACACUUGGAAUCAAAUAUUUUAUUUGGCACGUUGUGGGCAGAGACUAGAAGUCAUAAUUCACACAAUUCUGUAAUCAUUUUAAGAUAUUGAGCCAUCUGAAAUAAGUUUAACUUUAUAUUUUCAUACUUUUAAGCAAAUAUAUUGGUAUAGCUCUUCACUUUUCUAGCCAGUGGCAAGUAAAUAACAUAUUUAUCACAUUAACUCAUUGUUGCCAAAAGAGUCAUUUAAAACCUUAUGAAUAGAAUCUUAUCUAUCUAAAUUAAUCAUUAUGAUAUAGUAAAUAAUUAGGUCUGAAUAAAAUAUGUCAAUUGAAGUUUUUUUUUUUAUUACACAGCACUCAGGAUAUAGGCUCUUCUACAUCUGAGGACAAGACUGAGGUUAUUCCCCAAUAGCCUGUUGAAAUUAUUAAAUACUGUAGUUACAGUAUUUGUGUGACAAAAAAUAUAAAUUGUCAGAACAAGUACAGGUUCAUUAUUACUCUAUAAGGUUAAAAAAAUGUAAAAAUGUACUCACAAAACUACAAGACUAGACCUUUAUGUUUAAUUAAUGCACCACAAAUUGUUAUUUUUACAAUUAUGUCAACAUUAUAGUACAAAAAUAGGGUACCAUUUCAGUGAUGGUGAAGUGGCAGUGCUAUACAUAUACAAACAUAUAUAUAUAUAUAUAUAUAUAUAUAUAUAUAUAUAUAUAUAUAUAUAUAUAUAUAUAUAUAUAUAUAUAUAUAUAUAUAUGUUGUUACUGAAUAGGAAAUGUGUAAGAUGACAUUUCACAUGAGUAACAAGUGGGUAGGAUUAAAACCUCGCUGCUUGGGGGUCUUCGGUUAUACCCUGAGUUUGGGUUCCUGUCUGUGUGGAGUUUCUCUGCAUGUUCUCCCUGUAGCUUUGUGACUUUCCUCCAGGUUAUCUUUCAUGUGCGUGUGUGUGUGUGUGUGUGUGUGUGUGUGUGUGUGUGUGUGUGUGAUGACCACCGGUUCAUCUGCUGCAUGUUUUCCCCCUUCACACCAGUGUUCCCAGGAUAGACUCUGGAUUCACUGCGGCCCUGAGCAGGAUGGCGCUGUUAAAGAAGAUGACUGAAUGAACAAAAUUAACACUGAACAGUUCUUUAUGUCAAUUUUGAUUAUUGUUUUUUAUUAACUCACCAUAGGCUUGAAUGUAGGUUAAAAUUUAUUUUUUAAAAUCUAGGGUAAGAGUAUAGCAUUUGAUUCUUCUCAGAAAUGGGGCAUGAUGCAGUAUAUAAAUACCAAUAAUUGUGGAAUCUCCAAAUAAAUUUAUUGAAAUACAAUCCCUACAGAGUGCAAAGUGCCCCUUUGGUUGUGGCAGAGUAACGGUCAGCCACAUUUAUGAGUUGUACACAGCUUUGCUUCAAGGCACACAGACAUGUGACUUGUGUAAGCAUGUCAAGGACAUCACAUCCCAUCCCCCCCCCCCCCCCCC
Long non-coding RNA from Ictalurus punctatus (channel catfish), 4574 nucleotides. Lineage: Eukaryota; Metazoa; Chordata; Actinopteri; Siluriformes; Ictaluridae. The record is from Ensembl.